Molecule: small RNA, 77 nt
Filed under: Sinorhizobium meliloti 2011
Lineage: Bacteria; Pseudomonadati; Pseudomonadota; Alphaproteobacteria; Hyphomicrobiales; Rhizobiaceae
Description: putative ncRNA
Source: RNAcentral
ACCCGACGCGCAUUAGCGGAGUGCCGAGACGUGCUGAAGCGUGCUGGCCGUGCGAAUGCGUGACGAGAAGAUCAGCA